This is a non-coding RNA of Stomoxys calcitrans (stable fly), 71 nucleotides long. The record is from Rfam. Lineage: Eukaryota; Metazoa; Arthropoda; Insecta; Diptera; Muscidae.
GUCCCCGUAGUGCAGAGUUUAGCAUGUCCGCUUAUGACGCUGAAUGCCUGGGUUCGAAUCCUGGCGAGAUA